This 435-nucleotide ribosomal RNA is filed under the name uncultured bacterium. RNAcentral describes it as "bacterial SSU rRNA". It matches the Rfam family "Bacterial small subunit ribosomal RNA", at positions 43 to 524 of the family's 1533-position model. The record is from RNAcentral.
CAGGCCUAACACAUGCAAGUCGAACGAAGGCUUCGGCCUUAGUGGCGCACGGGUGCGUAACGCGUGGGAAUCUGCCCCUGGGUUCGGAAUAACAGUUAGAAAUGACUGCUAAUACCGGAUGAUGACGUAAGUCCAAAGAUUUAUCGCCCAGGGAUGAGCCCGCGUAGGAUUAGCUAGUUGGUGGGGUAAAGGCCUACCAAGGCGACGAUCCUUAGCUGGUCUGAGAGGAUGAUCAGCCACACUGGGACUGAGACACGGCCCAGACUCCUACGGGAGGCAGCAGUGGGGAAUAUUGGACAAUGGGCGAAAGCCUGAUCCAGCAAUGCCGCGUGAGUGAUGAAGGCCUUAGGGUUGUAAAGCUCUUUUACCCGGGAUGAUAAUGACAGUACCGGGAGAAUAAGCUCCGGCUAACUCCGUGCCAGCAGCCGCGGUAAU